Molecule: ribosomal RNA, 464 nt
Filed under: uncultured bacterium
Lineage: Bacteria
Description: partial 16S ribosomal RNA
Rfam family: Bacterial small subunit ribosomal RNA
Source: RNAcentral
GACGAACGCUGGCGGCGUGCUUAACACAUGCAAGUCGAACGGAAAGGCCCCUUUGGGGGUACUCGAGUGGCGAACGGGUGAGUAACACGUGAGUAACCUGCCCUUGACUUCGGGAUAACUUCAGGAAACUGGGGCUAAUACCGGAUAGGAAUCCUUGCUGCAUGGUGGGGGUUGGAAAGCUUCGGCGGUUUUGGAUGGACUCGCGGCUUAUCAGCUUGUUGGUGGGGUAGUGGCUUACCAAGGCUUUGACGGGUAGCCGGCCUGAGAGGGCGACCGGCCACAUUGGGACUGAGAUACGACCCAGACUCCUACAGGAGGCAGCAGUGUUGAAUAUUCCACAAUGGGCGGAAGCCUGAUGCAGCAACGCCGCGUGCGGGAUGACGGCCUUCGGGUUGUAAACCGCUUUCAGCAGGGGCGAAGCUUGUGGUGACGGUACCUGCAGAAGAAGCACAGGCUAACUACGU